CAGGCCUAACACAUGCAAGUCGAGCGGAUGAGGAGAGCUUGCUCUUCGAUUCAGCGGCGGACGGGUGAGUAAUGCCUAGGAAUCUGCCUGGUAGUGGGGGACAACGUUUCGAAAGGAACGCUAAUACCGCAUACGUCCUACGGGAGAAAGCAGGGGACCUUCGGGCCUUGCGCUAUCAGAUGAGCCUAGGUCGGAUUAGCUUGUUGGUGAGGUAAUGGCUCACCAAGGCGACGAUCCGUAACUGGUCUGAGAGGAUGAUCAGUCACACUGGAACUGAGACACGGUCCAGACUCCUACGGGAGGCAGCAGUGGGGAAUAUUGGACAAUGGGCGAAAGCCUGAUCCAGCCAUGCCGCGUGUGUGAAGAAGGUCUUCGGAUUGUAAAGCACUUUAAGUUGGGAGGAAGGGCAGUCAGCGAAUACCUGGUUGUUUUGACGUUACCGACAGAAUAAGCACCGGCUAACUCUGUGCCAGCAGCCGCGGUAAU
RNAcentral lists this ribosomal RNA (486 nucleotides) under uncultured bacterium. Its description in RNAcentral is "bacterial SSU rRNA". It matches the Rfam family "Bacterial small subunit ribosomal RNA", at positions 43 to 524 of the family's 1533-position model. The record is from RNAcentral.